AGCUGCCUUGACUGAGUAAGUCAGAGAAGGCUUCCUGGAGGAGAGCGAAGGGUGUGGGGCUGGGUUGAGAUACAGGAAGAUCUGGGUUUGAAUUAUAGUUUGGCUGCUUCCUAGCUGUUUGAUCUUGGACAAAACUUUCAUUCAUUCUAUAUUUUUUGGAGUGUCUACUCCAUGCCAAUCAUGUGUGAAAUGUUGGGAUAACAAAGGCGAAUUCAAUCUGGCUCUCGUCCUCGGAGCUUAAGCAAAUCAUCUGGGGUAGCGUGACCCAUGCUACGAUGGAGGUGGAAUACGGGGCUGCAGGGCGGGGCCACAGGACAUAGUGGGCAGCUUAACCUCCUUGAGCCUCCCUAUCCCUAAUUCACGUGAUGGGGUUUGUAACCACUUCUCACAUCGUUGAGAGAAAAGGGUGAGCCUGACUCAGAGGUGUGGCAAAGGAAGGGCAGGGCAGGCUUUAAGGACAGGGACAGGGCUGUCAGAGGCUGAGGCUAGGGAGGGGCAGGAAGGGGUGUGAGGCAGGGCGGAAGAGAGCAGGGCCCUGGGCAGGUGCUGAGCCAGGUCCUGCAGGUCACCCAGUCGCUUGAGUCCACGAAUGCUGGAGGCAGGCACUGGAGAGCCAGGGUGGUUCAGCCGCAGCUCCUCUGAGCAGGGAGUCAAACAGGGCUGAAACAGACACCAGCUCUCCAGGACCAGCUGGUAAGAGCUUCUCCACUGCCCCCGAGCCCUGACAGGAGGACUCCCACAGUGUGCAUGGAAGCCCAGGGAGCUCGGGGGCUACAGAGGCACCAUUGGCUCUGGAGCCUGCAGCCCAGACAGCCCCCUCCAGAUGUAAUGGGGGAAGGAGCCAGGGACUGGGAGGAAUUCAGAGGUCAGAGGAGGAGCAGUAUCAGGAGAUACUGCCCUCCUGCAACUCCUCCUCCCAGCUGCUCUCCCCUCCUGCUAGUGCCCACAAUGGCUCCCAGCUGCCUCCUAUAAGGAAGCUUUAUUAGCCUGCAGCCUGUACUCCUCCACGCAGCAGAGCUGACAGGACCCCAUUAGUCAGCUUAUUCAACCCUUCCCCUGGUGCACAAACCCUUGCCAAGCUUUUCUGGCAUUUUGCUCAGCCUGCUUGGACCCUCCAAGCAGGUAGGAACUCACUGUUUCACAAAGCAGUGUUAUUAGAAAGGUUUCCCUGACCCUAGCCCCCCACAUCUAAUCUUUCUCAAAUGUGGGCAGACUUGUUCCUGGCCCCUUCUCAUUCCACCAGUGCACACAUGCACAUGCUCCCUCUCUCCAUCCAAGCUCCAGGAAUCAACCUCUACCCUGAACCAGGUCCCUGAGGACCACCACGUGGCUGCAACACAGCAGGUGUGGGGCAGGGCACAAGUGGGCUUAAGGGGGGUAUAAGGGCUGGCAGUUUGCUCAUUGAUUCACUCAACAAACAUGUACUGAGCACCUCUAAAGGGCCAGGGCCUGUGCUAGGCACUGCGGUGCCAUGGUGAGCAAAUCCAGAAAUGGACCCUGCCCUCUAGGAGUUCACAGUCCAGAGGAGAAGCCCGAUGCUGAACAGAGAAUCACAUCCGUGAGCAACACAAAAGGCAAGGCAAACCCUGGGCAGAUGCCCCCGGGACUGUGUGUUAUGGGCCUACAGGAAGCCUCUCCCAAUGAAAAAGCAAUUUUUCAGCCAGAACCUCCACCAGUGUCUUUCAAACUGUGAGUGGCAACCCAUUUGUGGGUCAUAAAAUCAAUUUAGUAGUUGUGACCUGAAUUACUUGUUAGUGAAAUAGAGAGGAAUUUACAACAUCACACUUAGGAAAUACUGUUUUGUGAAAUGUUAGUUUCAGUUAUCUAUCUAUCUAUCUGUCUGUCUGAGAGAUCAUGUUUAUUAGUUAAGAUAUUAAAUGUAUUUCUUACUGCAGGUCUCAAUCAAAAACCUCUGAAAGCCACUGGCCUAGAGUUAGAGGAAGAGUUAGCCAUGAGAAAUGGUGGUGACACAGGUUCCAAAAGAAGAAACAAUAGGUAUCAGGCUCAGAGAUGAAAGGGCUAGAAGGAGGACACACCAAGUUCAAGGUCUGGCCUUUCUCGAGGGCAGUGGGGAGCCAUGGGAGGUUAGCAAGAUCCCAUCUUCUUCAUCCCUGGGCCUCACCCCAUGGGCAGGAGGGAAAUGGCAGGAAGUUGUCUUUGUGUCUCCCCAGGAGCCUGGACCUGUGGCCUUCCCUGCCUCCACCUGGGCCUCAACCGUCACGACCACCUGGCCUUUGAGGUAGGGUUUGGAGAAGGAAGUCAGCCUAUUAUCAGGAGAAGGCUUGAAUUUCUAUAUUCAUAGCUUGUUUCUGUCACUUACUAGCCUUGUGAUCAUGGGCAACUUGUCUAAUCUCUGUCCCUCAGUUUCCUCCUUUGUAAAAUAGGUCUCAUAGAACUCAUCCCCAAAAGUCCUUGUGAAGAUUUAGUUUGUAAGCCAGAUGUCUGCAGACCUCCAGUAAAAGAAUAUGUUUUUGGUAUUAGUAUAAAUCAAAUGGCUCACGCUGUGUCUCAGAGCUGCAACGAUCCAACGCCCUCCAUCCUUCAGAGGCUGUCUGAGUCCGGGGACACAACUCCCACCCUCCUCUCCUGCCAGCCGCGGCCCGUGGCUGCUCUCUUCACUUCGUCCCGCUUCGCCCCGACUGUGGAUCUACCCGCUCCCUUCUCCCUCAGUCCCCAAAGCACCAGACUCACAGGCCUGCUGUGUGACCCACUUUUACCGACCUUUCGGGGAGAGUAGAGGGCAUUUGUGACUCAGCUCAGAGCAGGAAACACAUCUCACGUCAACUGUCAGACAGCGCUGCUCCGAAUCCCAUCACAGUGCUCCAGCAGGGGGCGUCCUCACCGGCCGCGGCCACAGCCACGGCUCAACCCGGCCUAGCUCCCAGACACCCUCCUUCCACCGCCUGUUUUCCACCGUCCCCGCCUGCUCUUUCAAGCCAGCAGCAAACAACACCCUAAUCCGUGUCUUUAUUAUUCAAAGACCUUAAGCACUCUUUCCCACCUCGUUCCCAUCUUGAUUAUUUCAGGGAAUGAAUUAGGGAUUCACCUUUACAAUCAAAAAAGUUCUCUCAAAGCCAGGCUACUGGAGUUCUAAUUCUGCCUUCCCACUUUUACUAGCUGUGAAAUCUCAGGAAAGUUACUUAACCUCUCUCUGUCUCAUUUUCCUCAUCUUUAAAAAACAGGAUGAUAAUAUUUAGCUCCUAAGAUGGUUGUGAGGAUUUAAGUGAGCUGAUAUAUCCAAGAAUGUCUAGAACAGCGCGUGGCAGAAUGGGCAUUGCAUAUGGGUUUAAUCUUGUAACUGCCAUGUUUCACCAAUUCUAAGGUGUAUCUCGUUUCUCAUCAUAAGAGCUCUUCCGCUCGUGUGGCAGCUGGGAGUGGCCGUCAUUGCCUGCGCAUACCUAAACUUGGUCAGCAGCCAAGUGUUUUGUGAGACCUAAGAAAGGAAGAGCCCCAUAAGUAAAUGGAACUGUUGUGUUGUUUUAUUACCGAGAAAAGGGCAGAAUGAUUGCUAGUCACACGUGAAGCAAGAAAACCCCGGCAAUAAAGCUUGCAGAAUGAGUGGCUGAGGCUUGAAAAUAAAUGGUGGAAACAAUAGUGGACAAUCUUUUAAAGAAUGGCACAUUGCCAAUGCUCCUGAUGGCACAGAAGGUGACACCAUGCAGAAAAUCAAGGCUCUGAGUCAAAGAGGGUUUCAGAAAAAUUGGACUCUGAAUGUGAAGAAAUCUGGGGACUAUUUUAGCCAAUUUGUUUUGCCUAUAAUUUCCUUUUAUGCAUGCAAAAGAGCAAUUCUGAC
Molecule: long non-coding RNA, 3793 nt
Filed under: Homo sapiens (human)
Lineage: Eukaryota; Metazoa; Chordata; Mammalia; Primates; Hominidae
Description: HSALNT0368148
Source: RNAcentral